Molecule: ribosomal RNA, 447 nt
Filed under: uncultured marine bacterium
Lineage: Bacteria
Description: bacterial SSU rRNA
Rfam family: Bacterial small subunit ribosomal RNA
Source: RNAcentral
AAUAUUACACAAUGGGGGAAAGCGGAUGCAGCAAUGCCGUCUGUGUGAGGAAGGCCUGCGGAUUGUAAAGCACUUUCAAUAGGGAAGAAAAGCUUAGGGUUAAUAACCUUAAGUCUUGACAUUAUCUAUACAAGAAGCACCGGCUAACUCCGUGCCAGCAGCCGCGGUAAUACGGAAGGUGCGAGCGUUAAUCGGAAUUAUUGGGCGUAAAGCGCGGGUAGGUGGUAAGGUCAGUUGGAUGUGAAAGCCCCGGGCUUAACCUGGGAACUGCAUUCGAUACUGCCGUGCUAGGGUAUGGUAGAGGGAAGUGGAAUUCCGGGUGUAGGAGGAAAUUGUAGAAAUCCGGGGGGAAACCAUUGGGGAAGGCACUUAUCGGGCCGAUUAUGACGCUGAGGUGCGAAAGCGUGGCAGCAAACAGAAUUAGAUAUCCUCUUGGAGUCCACCCUA